CAAUAGCAUAUAUUAAAGUUGUUGCAGUUAAAAAGCUCGUAGUUGGAUUUCGGGACGGGCCAGUUGGUCCGCCGCAAGGUGUGUUACUGACUGGUCUGUUCUUCUUCGCAAAGACUGCGUGUGCUCUUCGUUGAGUGUGCGUAGGAUUUACGACGUUUACUUUGAAAAAAUUAGAGUGUUCAAAGCAGGCUAUCGCUUGAAUACAUGAGCAUGGAAUAAUGGAAUAGGACUUUGGUCCUAUUUUGUUGGUUUCUAGGACCGAAGUAAUGAUUAAGAGGGACAAUUGGGGGCAUCCGUAUUUCGUUGUCAGAGGUGAAAUUCUUGGAUUUACGAAAGACGAACAACUGCGAAAGCACUUGCCAAGAGUGUUUUCAUUAA
Molecule: ribosomal RNA, 378 nt
Filed under: uncultured eukaryote
Lineage: Eukaryota
Description: partial 18S ribosomal RNA
Rfam family: Eukaryotic small subunit ribosomal RNA
Source: RNAcentral